This 563-nucleotide long non-coding RNA is filed under the name Ananas comosus (pineapple). Its description in RNAcentral is "long non-coding RNA (ACOM_LNC044177)". Lineage: Eukaryota; Viridiplantae; Streptophyta; Magnoliopsida; Poales; Bromeliaceae. The record is from RNAcentral.
UUGUGCUCAUUCGCACAUGCUUGUGAGGGUCGCUCCCCAUAAGCCGGCACUCCGGAGAUAGCUUAUGUGUCACGCCCCGGGACCGAUACCAAUUUGGCCCGACCCGAGCACGUCAAACAGACGCCGAACGGACAGGGUUUCCCCUAUCCGUCCAAGGCUCAUCACAUGUACAAAUUCAAACAAGAAAUGCACUAGCGGAAACAUACACAAACGACUUACACGAGGGUAAGCAAUAGCCAUUAGUGAAAGAAAGAAAAACUAAAUAUUUACAAGUACUAUGAUUCAUUUUUGAUCAUAUACAUUGCAUUCAUCUUGUUCACUUUCGAAUUCCUUACAUUUCAUUUCAUCAUUUCUUUCUUACAUCACAUUUACCUCAAAAUACACAUUACAUUCUUUUCUCAACAUCACUAGUCAUCAAAUACAAAAGAUGAACAAGGGUACUCUACUAACAAAAUGUAAGUCCAACUCAACUCUGGUGGCCUCUGUCUAAGGCGCGAUACCUUUACCUCGGUCGCUCGCCGGCUCGCUCGGUCCCGGCUCUGUGGAAAUAGUGGGGUGAGAAC